RNAcentral lists this ribosomal RNA (254 nucleotides) under uncultured bacterium. RNAcentral describes it as "partial small subunit ribosomal RNA". It matches the Rfam family "Bacterial small subunit ribosomal RNA", at positions 26 to 280 of the family's 1533-position model. The record is from RNAcentral.
AGAAUCAACGCUGGCGGCGUGCCUAACACAUGCAAGUCGAACGAGAAAGUGGAGCAAUCCAUGAGUAAAGUGGCGACCGGGUGAGUAACACGUGACUAACCUACCUUCAAGUGGGGGAUAACCUAGGGAAACCUGGGCUAAUACCGCAUAACAUCCUUAGAGUGGAAACUCCGGGGAUCAAAGGAGCAAUUCGCUGGAAGAGGGGGUCGCGGCUGAUUAGCUAGUGGCGGGUAAUGGCCCACCAAGGCUUUGAU